This 2384-nucleotide long non-coding RNA is filed under the name Canis lupus familiaris (dog). Its description in RNAcentral is "lncRNA (ENSCAFG00000057049.1)". The record is from RNAcentral. Lineage: Eukaryota; Metazoa; Chordata; Mammalia; Carnivora; Canidae.
UUUUUUUUUUUUUUUUUUUUUUUUAUUUUUUGUGUGUGUGUGUUUUGUCGUUUGUUAGCUUUUUCCUUGUUGCGUGGAGGAGGGAGACAAUUUCCAAGCUCUUUACAUGCUGGGCCAGAAACCAGAAGUCCAUUUCAUGUAUUUUAUUCAUUUCUUUGCAUUUGUUGUCCUCACCUACCAGAAGGUAAGUUCUAUAAGGGCAGGGAUUUACGCCUGAUUUGUUCACUGUACCCUCAGGGCUUAGAAUAGUGCUUAACAUAGUAGGUGCUCAGAUAGUAUUUCUUUGAAGAAAUUGAAUAAAUGAAAACAAAUCUCCCUGUAGUUUCUAGCACAGAAAUGUCUUAGGUGGGGCCACUGCACAAAGGCCGUCACCUACAUGUCCCUCUGCAUGGAAAGCUUUUCCCAUUCUCCAUUUUCCUCUUUACUCAGUUAACUGAAGUUCUUCAAGGAAACCUUUCCUGACCUUCAGGUUGAGGAUCACUGGUACUCAUAGCCCAGCUAUUCCCCCUCAGACUUAAUAGUAACUUAAAAAUUGUAUAAUCAUCUCUUUGAGUUUGUAUCCAUCACAAGAUUCUAAGUUCUCUAAAGCAAGGAAGUAGGGGUGCCUGUGUUGCUCUGUUGGUUAAGCAACUGCCUUCGGCUCACGUCCUGAUCCUAGAUAGAGUCCUGGGAUCCAGCCCUAUAUCAGGCUCCCUACUACAGGGGCAGUCUGCAUCUCCCUCUCUCCCCUGCUCAUGCUCUCUCUUGCUAUCUCCCUCUCUCUUUCAAAUAAAUAAAUAAAAUAUUUUUUUAAAAAAAUGGAGGAACUAUAUCUCUUCUAUUUAUUUUAGUUCAAUUAAAACCCAACAGACUGAUUGACACAAAUCACAUGUGCAGUCAGUAUUUGUUGAAAGAAUAAAGGCAACAGUAUCUUGUCUUGGCAAGGUUACUGCGUUAGUGCUACUUAACAGAUCAUCACAAAACUUAAUGCCUUAAAAACAGUAAUACUUAUACAUUAUCUAUUACAAUUUCUAUGGGUCAGGGAUUUGGGAGUAGCCUAGCUGUGUGGUCUGGUUGAGUCUUUCAUAAGAUAGCAGUCAAGACAUCAGCCAGGGCUACAGCUAUCUGAGGGCUUGGGUAGGAUAGGGGAAUGUACUUCCAUGGUGGAUCUGUCAUAUGGCUGGCAAGUUCAUGCUGGUUGUUGACAGAGGUCUUGGUCCUUUUCCAUGGGGGCCUCUUUCAAGGCUAUUUGGCUAUUCUUACAACAUGACAACUAACCUCCCCCCACACUGGACAAUCCAAGAGAGGUCAAGUAGAAAUGGUAAUAUUUUUCUAAUGAUCUAGUCGCAGAAGUCCCAAAUGAUGACUUCUGUCACAUUCUGCUUGUUUAAAAGAAGUCCCCAUACAUAUGGCCCACAUUUAAGUUGCAGAGAAUUAGACUCUCCACCUUUUCAAGCAAUUGUGUCAAAGAAUUUGUGGACAAACUUUAAAACCAGAGCAUAACCAAUGAACAAAUUAAUGGAUAAGAGGAUGAGGAAAAAUUUGAUGUAGUGACUCUAAAUAAGUUUUCCUAGUUUUAGAAUAGAGAAGGAGGGUCACCUGGAUGGCUCAGUGGUAUAAUGUCUGCCUUCGGCUCAGGUCGUGAUCCCAUGGUCCUGGAACAGAGUCCUGCAUCAGGCUCCCCACAGGGAGCCUGCUUCUCCCUCUGCCUCUCUCUGUCUCUCAUGAAUAAAUAAAUAAAAUCUUUUAAAAAAAUAGAAUAGAAAAAAAAGGGGUGCCUGGGUGGCUCAGUGGUUGAGCGUCUGCCUUUGGCUCAGGGAGUGAUCCUGGGAUCCUGGGAUCGAGUCCCACAUCCAGCUCCCCACAGGGAGCCUGCUUCUCCCUCUGCCUGUGUCUCUGCCUCUCUGUCUCUCAUGAAUAAAUAAAUAAAAUCUAAAAAAUAAAAAUAAAAAUAGAAUAGAGAAGGAAAAUAACUGCUGUAGUUUAAGAGCAAUGUAAUUAAGAAAUAAUAGAUUAGUAUCUGGAGAGAUUACUUCUUUAAUAUCAAGAGAGAUGCAGAGGUGUAAUGUUUAUAAAUGUUUUUAUUUUUUUUAUUUUUUUUUUAUGAUAGGCACACAGUGAGAGAGAGAGAGAGAGAGAGAGAGAGAGAGAGAGAGGCAGAGACACAGGCAGGCUCCAUGCACCGGGAGCCCGACGUGGGAUUCGAUCCCGGGUCUCCAGGAUCACGCCCUGGGCCAAAGGCAGGCGCUAAACCGCUGCGCCACCCAGGGAUCCCUAUAAAUGUUUUUAUACCUGCAAAUACGUUAGGAAAAAAUACCAAAUCCUUAAAGGUCAAAGGCCAAUAGCCAGCACAGUACUGUAAAAUAUUAUCAAUGGAUAAGGUAGAAAAUAAAAUAGGGGCGGGG